RNAcentral lists this transfer-messenger RNA (397 nucleotides) under Chloroflexota bacterium. It matches the Rfam family "transfer-messenger RNA". Rfam says of the family: Bacterial tmRNA, also known as 10Sa RNA or SsrA, is named for its dual tRNA and mRNA-like properties. Its role is to liberate the mRNA from a stalled ribosome. To accomplish this part of the tmRNA is used as a reading frame that ends in a translation stop signal. The record is from RNAcentral. Lineage: Bacteria; Bacillati; Chloroflexota.
GGGGAUGAUCGGUAUCGACGAAGGGGGUUGGAACCAGGUUGCAAGCCGAGAGGCGCCGAGCUCGUAAAAUCAGCGCAACUAAAAAGUGCCAAUCGCACAAACUAUGCGGCUCUGCCGCUCGCUGCAUAAAGUAGCGAGCUAGAGCUGGCCCUCAGAAAGAGGGCUCGCCUCCCGUAACCGCCCUCGACCGGGUGCGGUGCAGGCGGCAGAAAGUCGGGGUGCCGCAGGGGAGGCCCCUAAACCUGCGAAAGAUGGACUUUCGGGUCCUAGCGGCUGGCCAAAGGUGAGCCCUUCCGGCCGGGCUCCCGGCGGCGAGAACACAAUAGACCGGCCAAGCUUGUAGAAGCCCGGUUACCGAAGCCUUUGGACGCGGGUUCGAUUCCCGCCAUCUCCACCU